Molecule: small RNA, 176 nt
Filed under: pig gut metagenome
Description: Bacteroidales-1 6S-Bacteroidales RNA suggested
Rfam family: Bacteroidales-1 6S-Bacteroidales RNA suggested
Source: RNAcentral
GCUGAUUGGGAUACUCUUCAAAUUUUUAUGAAAUCCCGAGUAAGCAACCCAUUUUGCCAAUGGCGGGCCUCAACCGAAAGGUGUAUCUGCGGAUACCGGAGGAUUACAAAGGUGUGGGUGCCCUCAAAUCCUGUAUUUAUCGGAGUUUCAUCACAUCCCUUUGGUGUGGCUUUUUU